Chroicocephalus ridibundus (black-headed gull) is the source of this 1686-nucleotide long non-coding RNA. RefSeq lists it as uncharacterized. NCBI's taxonomy places the organism in Eukaryota, Metazoa, Chordata, Aves, Charadriiformes, Laridae. The record is from RefSeq and is a predicted model, not a curated record. The transcript is spliced from 3 exons.
GGGUGGAAGAAGCUCACUGAGUGAUCCCUGCACCAGGAGCCAGUGUUGGGACUGCUCAGAUUUCAACUGCGGCAAAGGAGAGAAAAUAAAUACCACUUAUCUAGAGCGAGGACACUUCUUCCCUUUGUGGCACUGGAAAUUUACACGGUGAUUUACUCCUUGUUGCUGAUGAAAGGGUGAGGAGUAAGCAUGCCCACAGUCUCUCUGCAAGGAUCUGCAUCCCCAUCCAGCCGCUGCUAUUGCCAUCGAGGCAGUUAUCAGAGCAGGCAUCCUUUCAACUUAUGCUACGAACUCACUUGCCCACUCAGAUGCUUCGGUGAAAUGUGACAAGCUGCCAGGUGUUUCUGUGUUUUAACAUUUGCUUCAACAAAACAUUUUCUUCUCUUGCCAGUGUGACCUUUAAUUUGAUCCUGACUGGAGUAAAUAAUGACUUUCCUGCAACAUUUCAGGCAUCUCUCCUGGCACUUUUCAUUUUGCCACUUCUAACUGAAUGCUACAAAGAUCUGCAUAGCUGUGGCUUCCCUCCUGACAAGGGGGACAGAUGUGGCUGGCUGUCCCACAGUGUCCAACACUGUUUCUGCAGCCAGCCAAACCACAGCACAGCCAUCUUCCCUGACUGUUAUUAUUCCUCUUAGUAUUAAAUGGAAGAUCACUAUGUCAAUCCUGCAAAAUCCUGUUUACAAUUGGUAAAACUGUACUUCCAUAAUCUGUUCAGAAGCUUAUUCCUUAGAUCAGGCUAUUUUCUGUGAGCUAUUUGUAUCUCUGCAUUGCAGAUGGUAUGCAAUUUGUUCACUGAUCUCACUAACAAGAACAGUGCUCUUUCCCUCUUUUAAUCUAUGUAUGGCUUUUCUCUUGCUUUUUUUAUCAGUGGCCUGGACCUCAAAGGUUUCCUCACCUGUCACCUCACCUUCAUACUUUUCUGUUAUAUGUUUUAUGCCUACUCAAACGCCAGGCACAAUCACCCUUUGGUAUGACCAUGUUUUGCCAGCCAACAGGUGGAUAGAACUUCCUCCCAGAGGUGAUGCUUCAGACCUACAGUCCUGGUGGAGUUCAAGGGCACUACAUCAGGUAGGGUGGGCUUCUUUCUGUGGGCUGAAGGCAGAUUUGGGGCUAUCUGUGUGAAUUUCAGGUUGUCCCUUUUCUUCAAGGAAUAGGGCACUGCCAAAUCUGUCCUUCUAAAAUAAUAAUCGAAAGGAAAAUUAUGACUUCUGCAGAUUUAUUUCCCUUUAGGCCUCCCUCCCGAUGUUCUGAGCACAGGGAAUGUAUUUAUUUUACAUUUGCAAAAAGAUGCUAUAUCAAUAUGCCCCAGCUCUGGUCUGUUGCUAUAUUAUGAUUAUGUCAGAAACCCAUUUCUUACCUUCCUGAAGAUAAAUACGAUAUGAAAAAUGUGUACAAAACCAAUGAUGCAGAUGGCAAAGACUACAUGCUAAAUGGAAGCAAAAUUUUCAUGAUUUUGAUUUCUUUCUAGUUAUUUCCAGAGACAAAUGUUGUUGACAACAUUCUAAAAAUGUUAGUUGUCCUUAAAACUUAAUAUUUUAAAGUGUGCUAUCUUAGAGUAAUGACAGUAGAAAAAAGAAUAAAACAAAUCAUAUGAAAGUGAAUAACAUUGGGAAAUCUUAUUUUCUCUUAUUUCAGUAUUUUUGGAAUGUAUCUGACACUCAAAUGCAGGAGGAUCAAAAAUCUCAC